This 237-nucleotide ribosomal RNA is filed under the name uncultured bacterium. RNAcentral describes it as "partial 16S ribosomal RNA". It matches the Rfam family "Bacterial small subunit ribosomal RNA", at positions 524 to 759 of the family's 1533-position model. The record is from RNAcentral.
UACGUAGGGGCCUAGCGUUGUCCGGAAUUAUUGGGCGUAAAGAGCUCGUAGGCGGUUCGGCAAGUCGGAUGUGAAAUCUCCACGCUUAACGUGGAGGGCCAUUCGAAACUGCUGUGACUCGAGUCCGGUAGGGGAGUGUGGAAUUCCCGGUGUAGCGGUGAAAUGCGCAGAUAAUCGGGAGGAACACCAGUAGCGAAGGCGGCACUCUGGGCCGGUACUGACGCUGAGGAGCGAAAG